CGCCGACGAGAGGAGGAGCCCCACGCCGCCGCCCGACUCUGCCCGACACCGGCGUUACUCCUCCAGCAUACUGGCCUUAUCCCCGGUGGUAAGCCAUCUCCGCCUCUCCCCCCCCUGCUAGACGGGAACGUUGCUGCGAAUGUGAACCCGCAUUUUGUGAUCCUUCUUUGUUUCUGCAUAUGUGAAUUUCUUUUCUUGUGAGUGGAUUCUGAAUGCAUGCAUGUUCACACAGCAUGGAUUCUGAAUGCAUAGUGAGUAUUUGCUGUACAUGGUGUUUACUGGUUCUGAAUGUCCUGUGAGUGGAGAUUCUGAAUGCAUACUGCAUUAUGAAUGUUGAAUGAUGUUUUUUUUGCGGGGGAUCUGAAUGUAGAGCUGUCUGAUGGUGAUGGUCUGAUGUUGAUGGUGAUUGAAGUGUGGUGCAGAGCUGUUAAUUAGUUAACAAUCUGUUGUGCUGUGUCGGUGGUGCUGCGAGAAGCUUUCGUUUUCGUGGCUGAGCCGCAUGAGAUAUCUGCGUAGCCAUCUACAUUUGUAUGACUGAUGUUUGAAAUGCUUAUGAACCUAUGUCAUGGAAUCACUUGCUGUAAUGUGUUUUUGUUGUCUUGCAUGGUUGCAUACAAUGGCAAAUUCUUAGGCCUCGUCUGUCUGAAAGCAUUUCAAGUGAAAGAAUGCAAAAGACUACAUACUGCUGAUAAUUUCUUAGGCUUAUAUUUCCAGACUUGAAGUUAGCAAUUUAAGUACGGUAUAUGUCAUCUUACUUGUCGCUGAUAUGUUCUUAUUUUGACAGCCUGCCGCUUCGAUUAUUGUGGGGGUGGACGAAUUACCUCCGUCUUGGGAUUCAGUUGUCACGCCUAACUUCGGUAAUGUACACAAGCUUUUUGGCCUCUAGACCUUGUUUCUUAAGUCUUAACCGAAGUACUAUAUCCUACUUGAUAGAUCUUGUAGUCUUAUCAUUCUCUCCUAAUUUAGCGAUAGUCAUCUGAACUUGCAAAUCUACAACACUUGCGACUAAUGCUACUGUCUCUUCAUUAUUCCAAGAGUUUAGCAGUGAAAUAUGUUGUUUGGUAUAUAAUCUUGUUGUUAGCUUGUUUGGAAGUUUGAUAAAAUGCAUGGACCUUGUAGUAUAGUGUUGCUUGAUUAUGUUGUCACAACUCACAUCACGAGUAUGCGUACAACAGGUUUAAGCUGAUCUGCUUGCGCCAACUUGCAGGGAGAAGCCGUUUUAAGCUGUACUGUACUUCUUUGUUUCAGCAUGUACUUGUUCCAUCCAUGUGCUGGACUCUAGAGUUUGGUUUAGAAAGUAGUAGUUUAUUACUACUAGCAAAAUCUUCCUUUUUGUGCAACUCGGCCUAAAAAUGUCAGAUAAAUAAAUAAGUUUGCCCAACAGGAUUUCAACUAUGGAGUUGGGUUUAUGUUGUUGAUAUCUUUCUUGGAGACUGCAUCCAGAGAGGCAGUGGAGGAUGUAUUACCUCAUCUUCAGUAGCUGAUCAUUCAUUACAGUUUCUUUGCAGUGCUCUUUCUAGCCAGCAAGGAAAUAGUCCACAUUGCGAGCUUCAUUGAAUAGUUGUUUGAAUUUGAAGGAAAUAAACAUACAUACAUCCAUGGCAAUAUUUCAUUGCGAGCUUUUAACACAUUCUGAGAAUUUUAGAAGUCCAGAUGUAUUCUUGUUAGUUUCAAAUAUGCUUUGCUUCACUUCGGAAGAUGCCAGUUGUUUGAAUUUUAACUCUGCAUUCUGCUUGAGAUUUUUUGUUUGUUUGAUAUGAACCUUGUGCUUCUGCCUUUGACGAUUUCGUUGAAUUCACCAUUGACCUAGGUCUUGGUUUAAUUCCAUCAUCAUGUUGUACCUGUGUACUACUUUUUCUAUUUAAUUCUUUUGAUCUGAUGUUUGGGUGCCAACAGAUAACAGGAGAUGUACAGACUAAGGAAGGAAAGUUUUUAUUUGACCAGAUAGGGUCACUUCACACUGAAUUUUGUUUUCAGCAGCAAGAUCGCAGUGCAAGCUUUAAUAUCAUUUACUCAAAACACAUCUAAUCCUUGGACCAAUUCAUCUGUUUUUAUAGGGAUCUGAUCUCGCGGAAGACGGGUGACCACUUUGCUGCCACAAGUCUCCUUCACACCGUGUAGCCCGCAAACAUGUCUCGGAGCAUUUGCCGAUCAUAUUUAUGUUGUAAUGAACCGUUAACUUUCGUUGAUCGAACAUCUUGUAUUUUUCAUUUGGACCGUGGCAUGUAUGCAUGUAACAUUUCAUUUGAACAGUUGAUAGUACAUGCAACAGAUUAUACAAGCCUUUUUGUUAUUUUGCGUAAUCUAGUUGCACCAUUGUUGCAAGUACAUUUCUUCUAUGAGCUUUUGAAGCUUUUGAAGUUGUAAAAAUUGCAUCUCUAAUUAUAGUAUACUAAUUUUGCAAACCCUCUGUAUCAAUCCCUGUGUACCAAAUAGAAGGGGUGUGUGAGGGGUUUG
RNAcentral lists this long non-coding RNA (2457 nucleotides) under Triticum aestivum (bread wheat). RNAcentral's name for it is "long non-coding RNA (TAES_LNC003076)". Lineage: Eukaryota; Viridiplantae; Streptophyta; Magnoliopsida; Poales; Poaceae. The record is from RNAcentral.